This 497-nucleotide ribosomal RNA is filed under the name uncultured bacterium. RNAcentral describes it as "partial 16S ribosomal RNA". It matches the Rfam family "Bacterial small subunit ribosomal RNA", at positions 28 to 523 of the family's 1533-position model. The record is from RNAcentral.
GAUGAACGCUAGCGGCCGGCCUAAUACAUGCAAGUCGAGGGGCAGCGGGGUAGCAAUACUGCCGGCGACAGGCGCACGGGUGCGUAACACGUAUGCAGCCUACCUUCAACUGGGAGAUAGCCCGGGGAAACUCGGAUUAAUAUCCCAUAUUACAUCUGGUUUACAUGAAAUGAUUGUUAAAGAUUUAACGGUUUAAGAUGGGCAUGCUUUCGAUUAGCUAGUUGGUAAGGUAACAGCUUACCAAGGCUACGAUCGAUAGGGGGUCUGAGAGGAUGAUCCCCCACACUGGUACUGAGAUACGGACCAGACUUCGACUGGAGGCAGCAGUAGGGAAUAUUGGUCAAUGGAGGCAACUCUGAACCAGCCAUGCCGCGUGUAGGAAGAAGGCGUUCUGCGUUAUAAACUACUUUUGAUUGGGAACAAAUGACUCUUGCGAGAGUAGCUGAGUGUACCAAUAGAAUAAGCCACGGCUAACUACGUGCCAGCCGCCGCCGUAA